This 220-nucleotide ribosomal RNA is filed under the name uncultured bacterium. Its description in RNAcentral is "partial 16S ribosomal RNA". It matches the Rfam family "Bacterial small subunit ribosomal RNA", at positions 1280 to 1500 of the family's 1533-position model. The record is from RNAcentral.
AAGCGACCUCAGUUCGGAUUGAAGGCUGAAAUUCGCCUUCAUGAAGUCGGAAUUGCUGGUAAUGGCAGGUCAGCAUACUGCCGUGAAUACGUUCCCGGGCCUUGUACACACCGCCCGUCACACCAUGAGAGUUGGAGAUACCCGAAGCCUAUGAGCUAACUUUUAGAGGCAGUAGUCGAAGGUAGAAUCAAUGAUUGGGGUGAAGUCGUAACAAGGUAGC